GAUGAACGCUGGCGGCGUGCUUAACACAUGCAAGUCGAACGGAAAGGCCCUGCUUUUGUGGGGUGCCCGAGUGGCGAACGGGUGAGUAACACGUGAGUAACCUGCCCUUGACUUUGGGAUAACUUCAGGAAACUGGGGCUAAUACCGGAUAGGAGCUCCUGCUGCAUGGUGGGGGUUGGAAAGUUUCGGCGGUUGGGGAUGGACUCGCGGCUUAUCAGCUUGUUGGUGGGGUAGUGGCUUACCCAGGCUUCGACGGGUAGCCGGCCUGAGAGGGUUACCGGCGACAUUGGGACUACGAUACGGCCCAGACUCCUACGGGAGGCAACAGUGGGAAAUAUUGCACAAUGGGCGGAAGCCUGAUACAACAACGCCGCGUGCGGAAUGACGGCCUUCGGGUUGUAAACCGCUUUCGCCUGUGACGAAGCGUGAGUGACGGUAAUGGGUAAAGAAGCACCGGCUAACUACGUG
This 468-nucleotide ribosomal RNA is filed under the name uncultured bacterium. Its description in RNAcentral is "partial 16S ribosomal RNA". It matches the Rfam family "Bacterial small subunit ribosomal RNA", at positions 28 to 507 of the family's 1533-position model. The record is from RNAcentral.